UUCAUACUCCCUCCGUCCGGAAAAGCUUGUCCCUUAAAUGGAUGUAUCUAGCACUAAGUUAGUGCUAGAUACAUCCAUUUGAGGGACAAGCUUUUUCGGACGGAGGGAGUAUGAU
Non-coding RNA from Triticum urartu, 115 nucleotides. The record is from Rfam. NCBI's taxonomy places the organism in Eukaryota, Viridiplantae, Streptophyta, Magnoliopsida, Poales, Poaceae.